GCAGCAGUAGCUCAGUGGUAGAGCCCCCUCUUCGCAUGCGCGGAGAUCUGGGUUCGAUUCCCGGCUGCUUCC
This 72-nucleotide transfer RNA is filed under the name Toxocara canis (dog roundworm). It matches the Rfam family "tRNA". From Rfam's summary of the family: Transfer RNA (tRNA) molecules are approximately 80 nucleotides in length. The record is from Rfam by way of RNAcentral. Lineage: Eukaryota; Metazoa; Nematoda; Chromadorea; Rhabditida; Toxocaridae.